UACGUAGGGGGCAAGCGUUGUCCGGAAUCAUUGGGCGUAAAGAGCGUGUAGGCGGCCAGAUAAGUCCGCUGUGAAAUCUCGAGGCUCAACUUCGAGCUGUCGGUGGAAACUGUCUGGCUAGAGUCCGGAAGAGAAGAAUGGAAUUCCUGGUGUAGCGGUGAAAUGCGCAGAUAUCAGGAAGAACACCCGUGGCGAAGGCGGUUCUCUGGGACGGUACUGACGCUGAGACGCGAAAGCGUGGGGAGCAAACAGG
This 253-nucleotide ribosomal RNA is filed under the name uncultured bacterium. RNAcentral describes it as "partial 16S ribosomal RNA". It matches the Rfam family "Bacterial small subunit ribosomal RNA", at positions 524 to 776 of the family's 1533-position model. The record is from RNAcentral.